UAAGGGGUACAAGGGGUGGCUUUCGAUUCUCGAGAGAUGCUCCACGAAAUUGUAAUGGCCGGCCAGCAGCCCAAAAAGCAAGUCACGCGGCUGACUUGAAGCUUCACACACACACAGGCAGACUCACACAUAUGCACAGCGAAGUGGAGAGCGAGAGAUCGCUGAGCGUAACAAGUGUCAGUGGAGCUGCUAUCAGGUGGCAACACUGGCGCAUUGAAAUUUGAAAGCAGGCGCCCACUUUUAACGUUUUUCGUUUCAUAUUAGUUUUGUUUUGUUACGUAAUGCAGCCGCCGUCUACGCUGCCGCUGCCACCACCACCACCGGCUUUGCUUUGGUGCUGUACUCUACGCGCCGCUGCGCCCGCUUAACUAGUCAAGCAUAACAACAACCCGUUUUGGUUAAUUUACAUAAAAUACGAUAUAACAACAAUAGCAAGUCGCUGCACACUUGUUGCGCAGCCCCUCCCACUCUCCCUUUACCUAACAAUAAAAUUAAAAUGAAAAUCUAUCCUAGCGCUGCGCAGUCGACGCAUGAGCAAACAAACUGAGUGAGAGUGCCGAAACAGCGGCGGCUGCGCAGCCGACUGUUGCGCUUCAUGGCUAGCGCACGUGAAAGUACAAAAAAGAGCCGAAGAGAGAACAACAGACAGAGAGAGGAUUUUGUUUUCAAGUUCGAAACCAACUUCGAAUUUUUUGUGACUGAACGUCGACGUCGACGCCGCCGUUGUCGCAUCGCUGUCUGCACUCAAAAUGCAAAUUGCAGCAUAGUCGAUGACGUCAGCGCGUCUUCUGCUGCUUUGUGUUUGUUGCUGCGCUGUGCAAAAUUUAAGCGAAUUCAAUGCCAAA
This is a long non-coding RNA of Drosophila navojoa, 845 nucleotides long. Lineage: Eukaryota; Metazoa; Arthropoda; Insecta; Diptera; Drosophilidae. The record is from RefSeq and is a predicted model, not a curated record.